GAUGAACGCUGGCGGCGUGCCUAAUACAUGCAAGUCGAGCGAACAGACGAGGAGCUUGCUCCUCUGACGUUAGCGGCGGACGGGUGAGUAACACGUGGAUAACCUACCUAUAAGACUGGGAUAACUUCGGGAAACCGGAGCUAAUACCGGAUAAUAUAUUGAACCGCAUGGUUCAAUAGUGAAAGACGGUUUUGCUGUCAUUUAUAGAGGGAUUCGCGCGGCAUUAGCUAGUUGGUAGGGUAACGGCUUACCAAGGCGACGAUGCGUAGCCGACCUGAGAGGGUGAUCGCCAACACUGGAACUGAGACACGGUCCAGACUCCUACGGGAGGAGCCAGUAGGGAAUCUUCCGCAAUGGGCGAAAGCCUGCCGGAGCACCGCCGCGUGAGUGAUGAAGGUCUUCGGAUCGUAAAACUCUGUUAUUAGGGAAGAACAAAUGUGUAAGUAACUAUGCACGUCUUGACGGUACCUAAUCAGAAAGCCACGGCUAACUACGUG
Molecule: ribosomal RNA, 497 nt
Filed under: uncultured bacterium
Lineage: Bacteria
Description: partial 16S ribosomal RNA
Rfam family: Bacterial small subunit ribosomal RNA
Source: RNAcentral